RNAcentral lists this ribosomal RNA (107 nucleotides) under Candidatus Nomurabacteria bacterium. Lineage: Bacteria; Candidatus Nomuraibacteriota. The record is from RNAcentral.
AUCGGUGUCAAUGGCGCUGGGGCAACACCUGUUCUCAUUCCGAACACAGCAGUUAAGCCCAGUUGCGGCGAUUAUACUGGAAACGGGAAAGUAGCAAGAUGCCGAAU